RNAcentral lists this ribosomal RNA (813 nucleotides) under uncultured bacterium. RNAcentral's name for it is "bacterial SSU rRNA". It matches the Rfam family "Bacterial small subunit ribosomal RNA", at positions 8 to 808 of the family's 1533-position model. The record is from RNAcentral.
AGAGUUUGAUCCUGGCUCAGGAUGAACGCUGGCGGCGUGCUUAACACAUGCAAGUCGAACGGAACUGUCAUUUUUGAAGCAAUUAGCUUGCUAAGGGUGGAAAUGUUGGCAGUUUAGUGGCGGACGGGUGAGUAACGCGUGGGUAACCUGCCUUACACAGGGGGAUAACACCUGGAAACAGGUGCUAAUACCGCAUAACAGGAAGAGGCGCAUGCCACUUUCUUGAAAACUCCGGUGGUGUAAGAUGGACCCGCGUCUGAUUAGCUGGUUGGCGGGGUAACGGCCCACCAAGGCGACGAUCAGUAGCCGGCCUGAGAGGGUGGACGGCCACAUUGGGACUGAGACACGGCCCAAACUCCUACGGGAGGCAGCAGUGGGGAAUAUUGGACAAUGGGGGGAACCCUGAUCCAGCGACGCCGCGUGAGUGAAGAAGUAUUUCGGUAUGUAAAGCUCUAUCAGCAGGGAAGAAAGAAAUGACGGUACCUGACUAAGAAGCCCCGGCUAACUACGUGCCAGCAGCCGCGGUAAUACGUAGGGGGCAAGCGUUAUCCGGAUUUACUGGGUGUAAAGGGAGCGUAGACGGUGAUGCAAGUCUGAAGUGAAAGGCGGGGGCUCAACCCCCGGACUGCUUUGGAAACUGUAUGACUGGAGUGCAGGAGAGGUAAGUGGAAUUCCUAGUGUAGCGGUGAAAUGCGUAGAUAUUAGGAGGAACACCAGUGGCGAAGGCGGCUUACUGGACUGUAACUGACGUUGAGGCUCGAAAGCGUGGGGAGCAAACAGGAUUAGAUACCCUGGUAGUCCACGCCGUAAACG